This 468-nucleotide ribosomal RNA is filed under the name uncultured bacterium. RNAcentral describes it as "partial 16S ribosomal RNA". It matches the Rfam family "Bacterial small subunit ribosomal RNA", at positions 28 to 507 of the family's 1533-position model. The record is from RNAcentral.
GACGAACGCUGGCGGCGUGCUUAACACAUGCAAGUCGAACGGAAAGGCCCUGCUUUUGUGGGGUGCUCGAGUGGCGAACGGGUGAGUAACACGUGAGUAACCUGCCCUUGACUUUGGGAUAACUUCAGGAAACUGGGGCUAAUACCGGAUAGGAGCUCCUGCUGCAUGGUGGGGGUUGGAAAGUUUCGGCGGUUGGGGAUGGACUCGCGGCUUAUCAGCUUGUUGGUGGGGUAGUGGCUUACCAAGGCUUUGACGGGUAGCCGGCCUGAGAGGGUGACCGGCCACAUGGGGACUGAGAUACGGCCCAGACGCCUACGGGAGGCAGCAGGGGGGAAUAUUGCACAAUGGGCGGAAGCCUGAUGCAGCAACGCCGCGUGCGGGAUGACGGCCUUCGGGUUGUAAACCGCUUUCGCCGGUGACGAAGCGUGAGUGACGGUAAUGGGUAAAGAAGCACCGGCUAACUACGUG